Molecule: ribosomal RNA, 167 nt
Filed under: Mangarinus waterousi
Lineage: Eukaryota; Metazoa; Chordata; Actinopteri; Gobiiformes; Gobiidae
Description: partial 12S ribosomal RNA
Source: RNAcentral
CGCCGCGGUUAUACGAGAGGCCCAAGUUGACGAAGCCCGGCGUAAAGAGUGGUUAAUAAGACAAAUACUAAAGCCGAACACCCUCAAGACCGUUAUACGUACCCGAGGGUAGGAAGACCUUUAACGAAAGUGGCUUUAAUUAAUAUGAACCCACGAAAGCUAGGAAA